UGGGGAAUAUUGGACAAUGGGCGCAAGCCUGAUCCAGCCAUGCCGCGUGAGUGAUGAAGGCCCUAGGGUUGUAAAGCUCUUUCACCGGUGAAGAUAAUGACGGUAACCGGAGAAGAAGCCCCGGCUAACUUCGUGCCAGCAGCCGCGGUAAUACGAAGGGGGCUAGCGUUGUUCGGAUUUACUGGGCGUAAAGCGCACGUAGGGGGACUUUUAAGUCAGGGGUGAAAUCCCGGGGCUCAACCCCGGAACUGCCUUUGAUACUGGAAGUAUUGAGUAUGGUAGAGGUGAGUGGAAUUCCGAGUGUAGAGGUGAAAUUCGUAGAUAUUCGGGGGAACACCAGUGGCGAGGGCGGCUCACUGGACCAUUACUGACGCUGAGGGGCGAGAGCGUGGGGAGCAAACAGG
Molecule: ribosomal RNA, 404 nt
Filed under: Actinomycetes bacterium
Lineage: Bacteria; Bacillati; Actinomycetota; Actinomycetes
Description: Actinobacteria bacterium partial 16S ribosomal RNA
Rfam family: Bacterial small subunit ribosomal RNA
Source: RNAcentral